Molecule: long non-coding RNA, 236 nt
Organism: Perca flavescens (yellow perch)
Lineage: Eukaryota; Metazoa; Chordata; Actinopteri; Perciformes; Percidae
Exons: 2
Source: RefSeq, a predicted model, not a curated record
AUUGUGCAGUUGGAACGGAUCGGGUACUGACAAGCACAUGCCGAUCCAACUGCGGCUCGUUAAAUUAAUUGGUAAUGUCAUUGUAUUUGUAAGUUCAACGAGACACACGAGAGAGAAGUUGCCUUGUAACCUGUGUUUUCACUCCCCUGGAGUUAACGCGGCCAAUGAGUUCUCACGGCAUGUUUGAUGGCAUCGACGAUGACGUAAUUCAACUAAUAAAUGCCCGUAGACAAGAA